This 240-nucleotide ribosomal RNA is filed under the name uncultured bacterium. RNAcentral's name for it is "partial 16S ribosomal RNA". It matches the Rfam family "Bacterial small subunit ribosomal RNA", at positions 15 to 236 of the family's 1533-position model. The record is from RNAcentral.
GAUCAUGGCUCAGGAUGAACGCUGGCGGCGUGCUUAACACAUGCAAGUCGAGCGAAGCGCUUAAGUCUGAUUCUUCGGAUGAAGACUUUUGUGACUGAGCGGGCGGACGGGUGAGUAACGCGUGGGUAACCUGCCUCAUACAGGGGGAUAACAGUUAGAAAUGACUGCUAAUACCGCAUAAGACCACGGUACCGCAUGGUACAGCGGUAAAAACUCCGGUGGUAUGAGAUGGACCCGCGU